RNAcentral lists this ribosomal RNA (463 nucleotides) under Vreelandella stevensii. RNAcentral describes it as "partial 16S ribosomal RNA". It matches the Rfam family "Bacterial small subunit ribosomal RNA", at positions 339 to 794 of the family's 1533-position model. The record is from RNAcentral. Lineage: Bacteria; Pseudomonadati; Pseudomonadota; Gammaproteobacteria; Oceanospirillales; Halomonadaceae.
CCUCGGGCGGCUGCAGUGGGGAAUAUUGGACAAUGGGCGAAAGCCUGAUCCAGCCAUGCCGCGUGUGUGAAGAAGGCCUUCGGGUUGUAAAGCACUUUCAGUGGGGAAGAAAGCCUUGGGGCUAAUACCCUCGAGGAAGGACAUCACCCACAGAAGAAGCACCGGCUAACUCCGUGCCAGCAGCCGCGGUAAUACGGAGGGUGCGAGCGUUAAUCGGAAUUACUGGGCGUAAAGCGCGCGUAGGCGGUCUGAUAAGCCGGUUGUGAAAGCCCCGGGCUCAACCUGGGAACGGCAUCCGGAACUGGCAGGCUAGAGUGCAGGAGAGGAAGGUAGAAUUCCCGGUGUAGCGGUGAAAUGCGUAGAGAUCGGGAGGAAUACCAGUGGCGAAGGCGGCCUUCUGGACUGACACUGACGCUGAGGUGCGAAAGCGUGGGUAGCAAACAGGAUUAGAUACCCGAGUAGU